RNAcentral lists this long non-coding RNA (3707 nucleotides) under Nicotiana benthamiana. RNAcentral describes it as "long non-coding RNA (NBEN_LNC040047)". Lineage: Eukaryota; Viridiplantae; Streptophyta; Magnoliopsida; Solanales; Solanaceae. The record is from RNAcentral.
CGGGUUGGAUUGCUAGAGACCGUUUGAAGAAGUUGAAACAACCUGGAACGGUCAGGGAAUAUGUCAAAGAUUUCAGUUCUUUGAUGCUGGAUAUUAGCAAUGUGUCUGAGGAAGACAAGUUGCAUAAUUUCCUUUACGAGUUGCAGUCGUGGGCGCAAAUGGAACUCCGAACGCAAAACAUGAAAGACCUUCCUAGUUUCAUUGCGGCUGCGGAUGCAUUGGGAGAUUUCCGGUUGGGGCAAGAUGGCUCUGAUUUCUCUACUACUUCAAAGUCCAAAAACGGGAACAAGGCAAAAGAGUGGAGGAAAGCUGGAAACGACAAGGAGAAUGUUGUUGACGGCAACGGCAAUGAGAAGGAAAAGAAAGGUGCUGGACCUUUUAUAAACAAGGGAUAAGGGACAAAGCAGCAGGUUUGAUGGUUGUUUUAUCUGCAAGGGACCACACAAGGCGAGGGACUGUCCAAGAAUUGAAAAGCUUUCAGCGUUGUUUGCUGAAGAAAAAGGGGAAGAAGAACCGGAGCAAGCAACAGCAUAUGUGGGACCUAUGGUGGUGCUGAAAAAUGCGGAAGCUAGUUCGUCGAGGACGACGAAUUCUUCUGGUGGGGGUGGUUUGUUACACCCCUAACAAUGACCCUCGGCAGGUGUGGGUUGUGACAAGUAUUUUCAUGAUGGACUUGUUGCACAACCUGAAAAUUGGGGCAACAUCAUGACGGACAGCUCAACAUGACAGACUUUGCGGGGCAUGACAAAGGCACCUUGGACGGUGGUUUGUUACACCCCUAACAAUGACCCUUGGCAGGUGUGGGUUGUGACAAGUAUUUUCAUGAUGGACUUGUUGCACAACCUGAAAUUUGGGGCAACAUCAUGAUGGGCAGCUCGGCAUGACGGACUAUGCGGGGCACGACAAAGGCACCUUGGACGGAAUCAAGGCGCAUUUUACUUAGACAUGCGGGUUGGCAAAGCACUUGUGCGGCAAAGCCAUGUCAAGCAGGGGCAAGGACAUGGCAAGACAAGGUACAGCAAGGCGGGACAAUCAAUGGAAAUGAAUGUGGGCAAAUGACUUAGCAACGGGAAUGACAUCAAGGCUUGGUGACUUGAUGCUAAAUCAGCAUUGGCAACGGGCGGACUUGAUCAAGUGUCAAUGGCAAUGGAUGGGCACGCGGCAAAGUCAUGGACGACGAGCUGUGGCGAUGGCAUUGAGCGGAGCACUGUCAAAGGCCAAGGCUGGGCGCAAUGCCAGCUUAGGCGUGCAGCAGCUGGCCGACGCGCACAUGGAGCGAUUUUCAAGUGUGCCGUGCACAUGGUGCAGUUGGGCGGUUACAACCACCCAAGACAUGCUGAUCAUGGCCUAGAAAGGAGGAGGAGCAAUUGGCGGUUACAACAACUCCCUAAUCAUGCGGAUCAUGGCUUAGAGGAGCAGUUAGCGGUUACAACCACUCCCGAAACAUGUAGAUCAUGGCCUAGAAGUGUGCCCACGUUUUUAUACAUGUCUCUACUGAUUGUAGCCUAUAAAUAUGUGCCUAUGUAUAGCCAAAAGGGCAAGAACUUAGCCUAAGGCAAUUGUGCAAAGCCAAAUUAGUCUAAGUCACUUCCUUAGGGUAGGAAGUCCGUUUUGGGCAGGGAAUAGGGGAAUUCUUUGUCUUGGCCAUAGGGUAGGCUUUCGGAUACUUAUUUUGGGGCAGAGAAUUGGGGAAUUCUUUGUCUUGGCCACAGGGUUGACUUUUGUCUUCUUGUAUUCACUUUAUUAAUACAAGUUGGGAAGAAAUUCCAGUAAUCUCGUGUGUCUCUUACUGUUUUCGCUGCCUAUUUUCAUUCUAAGUUCAAAUCGUCCUAAAAUUAAACUAAAAGUUGGGAAGGCUGAGUCAAGUUGGUGCUUGGCUGCCGCACUGAGGUGAACCUCGGCCAGAAUUACGAGUGGCUAAAAUCACCCCUGUGACAAUUGGUAUCAGAGCAGGCUAGAUCGGGGCGACGACACAAUUUUCAUUGGUUGAAUAUUGUGAAGAAUGGCUGGUGGCCACACAGAACUAAGGGAAAAGGUUGCUGCAUUAAAGGCACUGGUCGGAACUACUAAUGGGGAUCUAGAUCGAGGCGACGACACAAUUUUCAUUGGUUGAAUUUUGUGAAGAAUGGCUGGUGGCAACGCAGAACUGAGGGAAAAGGUUGUUGCAUUAGAGGCACUUGUCGGAACUACUGAUGGGGAUCAGUUUCUGACUAUCAUGACCCGUCUUUCCUAUCUCGAAGGCGAGUUAAACAGACUGAAUCAGGAAUACAGAAUUGAAAAUGGAAAAUGGGCUGCUGCGUCGGGCUGCUGGCAAUGAUGAGACACAGCGUGGGGCAGAUUGGACCAAGGUCAGAAUCCCGGAGCCGAAUGAGUUCACUGUUACAAGGAGUGCCAAGCAACUCGAAAACUUCUUGUGGGACAUGGAGCAGUACUUUCAGGCUGCCAAAGUUCGUGACGAAGAAAAGGUCACCAUUACAACUAUGUACUUGGUUGACGAUGCAAAACUGUGGUGGCGAACGAGGGUGGCAGACGAUGCAAGUGCUGGGCGGCCGAAGAUUGACUCUUGGGAAAGAUUAAAGAAAGAAUUGAAGGACCAAUUCUUUCCUAGCAAUGCGGGCUGGAUUGCUAGAGGCCGUUUGAAAAAGUUGAAACAAACUGGAACGGUUAGGGAAUAUGUCAAAGAAUUCAGAAAAAUAUGAAAGACCUUCCUAGUGCCAUUGCGGCUGCGGAUGCAUUGGGAGAUUUCCGGUUGGGGUAAGAUGGCUCUGAUUUCUCUACUACUUCAAAGUCCAAAAACGGGAACAAGGACAAGGCAAAAGAGUGGAGGAAAGGUGGAAACGACAAGGAGAAUGUUGUUGAGGGAAACGGCAAUGAGAAGGAAAAGCAAGAUGCUGGACCUUUUAUAAACAAGGGUUAAAGCAGCAGGUUUGAUGGCUGUUUUAUCUGCAAGGGACCACACAAGGCGAGGGACUGUCCAAGAAUUGAAAAGCUUUCAGCGUUGUUUGCUGAAGAAAAAGGGGAAGAAGAACCGGAGCAAGCAACAGCAUAUGUGGGACCUAUGGUGGUGCUGAAAAAUGCGGAAGCUAGUUCGUCGAGGACGACGAAUUCUUCUGGUGGGGGUGGUUUGUUACACCCCUAACAAUGACCCUCGGCAGGUGUGGGUUGUGACAAGUAUUUUCAUAUAAGACUUGUUGCACAACCUGAAAAUUGGGGCAACAUCAUGACGGACAGCUCAACAUGACGGACUUUGCGGGGCAUGACAAAGGCACCUUGGACGGAAUCAAGACGCAUUUUACUUAGACAUGCGGGUUGGCAAAGCACUUGUGCGACAAAGCCAUGUCAAGCAGGGGCAAGGACAUGGCAAGACAAGGCACGACAAGGCGGGAUAAUCAAUGGCAAUGGAUGGGCGCGCGGCAAAGUCAUGGACGACGAGCUGUGGUGAUGGCAUUGAGCGUAGCAGUGUCACCAUGACAUUGCGAUGAUAUUUCCACACACGCCCGGCGCCGCUGCCGCCCGCACACUGCCAUGGCCUAGUUUUCUGCCUUGUCCGUGCCAACCCUCAUUUCCCUCGUGCCAGUACUUGGUGGGGGUGGUUUGUUAGACCCCUAAUAUUGGCUUGACGGAUGUCGGGUAGAAUUCAUGUCAAGGGCUUGUGCACUGCCCCUUGACAUGGCUUCGUUGAAGUGUUGGCAAGCAAUGUACAAGGC